GUCAUAUGCUUGUCUCAAAGAUUAAGCCAUGCAUGUCUCAGUACAAGCCAAAUUAAGGUGAAACCGCGAAAGGCUCAUUAAAUCAGUUAUGGUUCCUUAGAUCGUACCCACAAUUACUUGGAUAACUGUGGUAAUUCUAGAGCUAAUACAUGCAAACAGAGCUCCGACCGGAGACGGAAGGAGUGCUUUUAUUAGAUCAAAACCAAUCGGUGGCGGAUUCGCUCGUCAUCGUACAACUUGGUGACUCUGAAUAACUUUACGCUGAUCGCACGGUCUCGCACCGGCGACGCAUCUUUCAAAUGUCUGCCUUAUCAACUGUCGAUGGUAGGUUCUGCGCCUACCAUGGUUGUAACGGGUAACGGGGAAUCAGGGUUCGAUUCCGGAGAGGGAGCCUGAGAAACGGCUACCACAUCCAAGGAAGGCAGCAGGCGCGCAAAUUACCCACUCCCGGCACGGGGAGGUAGUGACGAAAAAUAACGAUACGGGACUCAUCCGAGGCCCCGUAAUCGGAAUGAGUACACUCUAAACCCUUUAACGAGGAUCAAUUGGAGGGCAAGUCUGGUGCCAGCAGCCGCGGUAAUUCCAGCUCCAAU
RNAcentral lists this ribosomal RNA (593 nucleotides) under Gymnopholus subnacreus. RNAcentral's name for it is "SSU rRNA". It matches the Rfam family "Eukaryotic small subunit ribosomal RNA", at positions 23 to 595 of the family's 1831-position model. Lineage: Eukaryota; Metazoa; Arthropoda; Insecta; Coleoptera; Curculionidae. The record is from RNAcentral.